This 253-nucleotide ribosomal RNA is filed under the name uncultured bacterium. RNAcentral's name for it is "partial 16S ribosomal RNA". It matches the Rfam family "Bacterial small subunit ribosomal RNA", at positions 524 to 776 of the family's 1533-position model. The record is from RNAcentral.
UACGAGGGUCCCGAGCGUUGUCCGGAAUUAUUGGGCGUAAAGGGCUCGUAGGCGGUUUGUCGCGUCGGGAGUGAAAUCCACUGGCUUAACUGGUGGCUUGCUUUCGAUACGGGCAGACUGGAGGUAUGCAGGGGAGAACGGAAUUCCUGGUGUAGCGGUGAAAUGCGCAGAUAUCAGGAGGAACACCGGUGGCGAAGGCGGUUCUCUGGACAUGUCCUGACGCUGAGGAGCGAAAGUGUGGGGAGCGAACAGG